UGGGGAAUAUUGGACAAUGGGCGAAAGCCUGAUCCAGCCAUGCCGCGUGUGUGAAGAAGGUCUUCGGAUUAUAAAGCACUUUAAGUUGGGAGGAAGGGCAGUAAGCGAAUACCUUGCUGUUUUGACGUUACCGACAGAAUAAGCACCGGCUAACUCUGUGCCAGCAGCCGCGGUAAUACAGAGGGUGCAAGCGUUAAUCUGAUUUACUGGGCGUAAAGCGAGCGUAGGCGGCUAAUUAAGUCAAAUGUGAAAGCCCCGAGCUUAACUUGGGAAUUGCAUGCGAUACUGGUUAGCUAGAGUGGGGGAGAGGAGGGUAGAAUUCCAGGUGUAGAGGUGAAAUGCGUAGAGAUCUGGGGGAAUACCGAUGGCGAAGGCAGCGAUCUGGCCUAACACUGACGCUGAGGUGCGAAAGCAUGGGGAGAAAACAGG
This 429-nucleotide ribosomal RNA is filed under the name Pseudomonadota bacterium. RNAcentral describes it as "Proteobacteria bacterium partial 16S ribosomal RNA". It matches the Rfam family "Bacterial small subunit ribosomal RNA", at positions 355 to 776 of the family's 1533-position model. Lineage: Bacteria; Pseudomonadati; Pseudomonadota. The record is from RNAcentral.